RNAcentral lists this ribosomal RNA (426 nucleotides) under uncultured bacterium. Its description in RNAcentral is "bacterial SSU rRNA". It matches the Rfam family "Bacterial small subunit ribosomal RNA", at positions 354 to 796 of the family's 1533-position model. The record is from RNAcentral.
GUAAGGGAUAUUGCGCAAUGGGCGAAAGCCUGACGCAGCAACGCCGCGUGGAGGAUGAAGGCUUUCGGGUCGUAAACUCCUUUGGACGGGGACGAGGAAGGACGGUACCCGUCAAACAAGUCACGGCUAACUACGUGCCAGCAGCCGCGGUAAAACGUAGGUGGCAAGCGUUAUCCGGAUUUACUGGGCGUAAAGGGUGUGCAGGCGGUUUGUCAAGUGGUGUAUGAAAUCGCUCGGCUCAACCGGGCGCGGUUAUGCCAGACUGGCAGACUAGAGACUGACAGAGGGUGGUGGAAUUCCGGGUGUAGUGGUGAAAUGCGUAGAGAUCCGGAGGAACCCCAGAGGCGAAGGCGGCCACCUGGGUCAGUUCUGACGCUCAGACACGACAGCAUGGGGAGCGAACGGGAUUAGAUACCCCAGUAGUCC